CUCUGUGUGUCUCUCUCUUCCACACAUCAUGCAUUCUUACCAAUCAUGACUAAACACUUAUGCGAUAGAAGAAUAUGUUUUCAGUAACUCGCUGUGGGUCUUGGCUUGUAGAAAUCCCACAAGCCAGGCCCUGUGCCUUCGCUACGCUUUUGGUGAGAACUUCUGUGGACAGAGGCACAAAAGCCUCAAGCUGUGAGAUUCAAAAUCUGGUGCUUAAGCCAGCCCCUCAGCGCUCCCAGCCUGCGCCUCCAUCCUCGUUGGAAACGAUAAGCUGGAACGUGUCUUGAUGACUUUCAGCAGACAGACCUGCAAAGAAGAGAAGCUGGUCUGGACUCUGGCCUUCCUUCACAACACACUGACAGGCCCACCACAGCUGCCAAACAUGAGGUGAUGGGACAGCCCUCGUGGCCUCCACCCACUGCCCUGGUGGAGAAGUGAAACAUGAACCCACCAGUGCAAGACAGAGAAAGAGGCACCAGCGAAGAGCAAGUGGUGUGGAAUUCUAAGGCAAAAGUCACCCUGAUUGAAUGGUGUGGAUUAGUCAAGAACCCAGCACUGGGGUCAGCCUCUGGAAGCAAUUUAAGAUGACCCAAGGAUUUGAGAUUCCAACCUCCCGCAGGCAAGCAGAAGUGCUCCCUUCUACAUAGGGCCGCCCUCCUUCCUGAGCAACUGGGCUGAUUUGUGGAAGAAACAGCUGUGCUUUCUGGUGGGUUCCAAUGCCAAACACGUAGGCCUUGGAUCAGGCAGGAUGUUCCAUCAGCAGUCAUUGUUCACACCUGUGCUGUAUGGGCCGGGCAUCAAGCCAAUGUAACACCUCCUUUCACCCCACAACAACCCUGUACCAAGCACACACCCAUUUUACUCCUGAGGAAGCUGAGGCUCGGAGAAGCACCGCGCCCAGGGUCCUGUAACCACAGGUGACAAAAUGAAGGUGUAAAUGCAACCUGAGUGAUUCCUUUUGACGGAGCCACACCAUUUAAAUCAAUGCUGGGUGAUUGGAUUAUAUGUGAUUUUUUUUUAAUUAAAAACAUUUUUUGCCAGACACAGUUGCUCAUGCCUGUAAUCCCAGCACUUUGGGAGGCCGAGGUGAAGUGGAUCACUUGAGGUCAAGAGUUCGAGACCAGCCUGGUCAAUAGGAUGAAACCCCGUCUCUACUGAAAAUACAAAAAAUUAGCUGGGUAUGGUGUUGGGCGACUGUAAUCCCAGCAACUUGGGAGGCUGAGGCAGGAGAAUGAGUUUAACCUGGGAGGCGGAGGUUGCAGUGAGCUGAGAUCGCACCACUGCACUCCAGCCUGGGCAACAGAGUGAGAUUCUGUCUCAAAAAAACCCAAAAAACAAAACAAAAACAUUUUUUUCUCUAUAAUGAAUAGGAUUGCUUGUGUUUUAAAAGGGAGUAACCAAUCACAGCACUUGCAGAUAACAUUAUAUGUUACCUGGAAUCUGAUUUAAACUAUUCCAUGUGGGUGGUGGUGCAAAAAUAAAGUAAACUUAUCCGUGAAUUGAUAAUCCUUGAGGCUGAGUAUUGGGUAUGACAUUCAUUAUCCUAUUCUCCUGUAGUGAACGUGUUUGAGAAGUUC
Molecule: long non-coding RNA, 1577 nt
Organism: Symphalangus syndactylus (siamang)
Lineage: Eukaryota; Metazoa; Chordata; Mammalia; Primates; Hylobatidae
Source: RefSeq, a predicted model, not a curated record